Molecule: ribosomal RNA, 484 nt
Filed under: uncultured bacterium
Lineage: Bacteria
Description: partial 16S ribosomal RNA
Rfam family: Bacterial small subunit ribosomal RNA
Source: RNAcentral
AUUGAACGCUGGCGACAUGCUUUACACAUGCAAGUCGAACGGCAGCGCGGGCUUCGGCCUGGCGGCGAGUGGCGAACGGGUGAGUAAUACAUCGGAACGUGCCCAGUAGUGGGGGAUAGCUCGGCGAAAGCCGGAUUAAUACCGCAUACGACCUGAGGGUGAAAGCGGGGGAUCUUCGGACCUCGCGCUAUUGGAGCGGCCGAUGGCAGAUUAGCUAGUUGGUGGGGUAAAGGCCUACCAAGGCGACGAUCUGUAGCUGGUCUGAGAGGACGACCAGCCACACUGGGACUGAGACACGGCCCAGACUCCUACGGGAGGCAGCAGUGGGGAAUUUUGGACAAUGGGCGAAAGCCUGAUCCAGCAAUGCCGCGUGUGUGAUGAAGGCCUUCGGGUUGUAAAGCACUUUUGGCGGGAACGAAAAGGACUGUGCCAAUACCACGGUUCGAUGACGGUACCCGCAGAAUAAGCACCGGCUAACUACGUG